UUUUAUAUAUAUAUUUUUUAUUUUUCUAACUGUCAUACUAUAAAAGUAGCUGCAAUUAAAUGAAAAAAAGAUGUUUCAAUACAUAACAAUGUGAAACAGAAAAUCACAACAAAUGAACAUGGCCUCAUUAACGAAAGAAUGAAUUCAAGAAAGCGCAAUAACAAGUUUUCUCUGGGAACAAGUUCUUGUAAAUUCAAAAAGUAUAACUUAAAAAAUAUCACAAAUGUUUUGUUUAACCUUUUUUUUGUUUUAAAUCUAAAAUGUUUUCCUAGAACAUAUGUUUGAUGAAAAAACCAUGGUGACAUUCGGCAACUACUGUGUAUAACCAAAUAACAAAAUACACAUUUGUGGUAACAAUUAAAAAACAACAAAAACUUGUAUAAUCAUAAUUCUAACCAAAACAAAUGUGAAAAUUCUAAUACAAAAACUUUAAAACUGACAUUAUUGGCUUGUGGCUAUUUCACAAAUUGGCAAUGUAAAAAAACUUGUGGUACAUAAACUAAGAACAGUAAAUGACUCAUUUCCUUUCUUUUAACAAAGAAACUAAAUCAAAAUGUUAAAUGAAACCAUUAUUAAACACACUAAUACAGUUUAAAACAAAUACAUCUGCUGAUCAGCAAGUAGUUUUUGCCCUUGUGUCUGGUAGGCCAAAAUGAAUGGGUUGUUAUAUUUGAUUAAGGGAGUUAACUCUUCCUAAAACCAUUACAUUAUUACCUACCCCUCACAAUGGCAAGAAUUCUUCAGUGAUCACAAGACAUAUCACAAGUAUUCUUCAGUGAUCACAGGACAUAUCACAUGAAUCAUUCAGUGAUUACAUGACAUAUCACUUGACAUGACACAAAGAUACCACAUGACAUAUCACAAGAUAAUUCAGUGAUCACAUGACAUCACAAGAAUCCUUCAGUGAUCACAUGACAUAUCACAAGAAUCCUUCAGUGAUCACAUGACAUAUCACAAGAACCAUUCAGUGAUCACAUGACAUCACAUGACAUGACACAAAGAUAUCACAGUCUAUGAGUAGAGUUAGUUAAACCUGAGGUGACUGAUAAUACAUAACAUGUGCCAGACUGAUGAAGUGUGUAUAUAGUACAAUAUAUGCAAAUGAGAUGGUAACAUCUUGCAAGUAUUUAUAAACAUUUUAAUAAAAAGGAUUUCUUAUCUGUACAAGGCACAAUAAAGAUUAACAAGAAGAAACAUCACAAAAUUUAAGGCAACAAAAAAUCUCACAUGAUUCAAAGUCCAAAAUAUUUUAUAUUAAAAUUUGCUGAAGAUUAAAUAAUAAGGCUGUAAAGGUUAAGAGUUGUAUUUGAAUAAACUAAAUUCAUGUGGACACAAAUUUAAAAUAAUUCAACUCACCAACAGUUUGUUUUGUUUAUUUUCAUCCAAUAUAACAAUAUUUGUAAUGUUCAUGAAAGGUUAAAAAAUAUACAAGUGAUUCUCGAAUACAUUAUACAUGAUUAAGGACUAUUCAAGGAAAAAAAGGAUUGGGGUUUGGACACUUCUCUUUUCAUUCCCAAUUACUCCCACUACCUAUUAAAAAAAAGAGAGGUUCAGUGGUGUCCAAAACUCCCAUACCAUUUUUCUGUAAUAGCCCUUAACAUCCUUUGAGUAUAAGACUGAUAUGUUUUAUGUAUUAAAUAGAAUAUACAUUAGUAUGUAAAUAACAACAAAAUGGACGGUAAAAGUAUCACAGUUAUAGGUAUAACAACAAUGCAUAUAGACUAAAGAUAACAUAUCAACAUUUUAUACACAUAUAUAAACAGCUGUGCCAUAGGAGCAUGAUAUGGCUGUUCCCCUAUCAAUGUCAAAUAAGACUUUACCAAUACAUAGUUAAAAUUAAUUCAUGGGGUGAUUUUAGGUACAAAAAUUUUGCCUGUACAUUUAAUUGACACCAACCAAAAUCUUUAAAGUCAAAUAAUGUGUAUUGUUUGCCAUAAGAUUCUGUGUAAAGAUAAUGAGAUUUUAUAACAAGAGUGCACACACUGAAAUGUCUCGCCUUCUAUACUAAUCAUUGAUAUUAUGUUGAUAGUCCAAAGUAUAAAGCUAAGCUUUAUUACCACUGUUACAUAAACUUAACAUUAACUAAGAUAACUAAACAAAGACCAAUGAACCUUGAAAAUUAGGUCAAGGUCAGAUAAACCAUGCCAGGCAGACAUGUACAGCUAA
Molecule: long non-coding RNA, 2166 nt
Filed under: Mytilus galloprovincialis (Mediterranean mussel)
Lineage: Eukaryota; Metazoa; Mollusca; Bivalvia; Mytilida; Mytilidae
Source: RNAcentral